GAGGAGAAAGCCUUGCAGGAAGAGCCCCCUGCCACUUCUCUCCUCCUGCACACACCAUGCGCCUCAGUCUGCUCUGCUGGGGGGCCCUGUGUCUCUGGGGAGCAGGCUCCAUGGACACAGAGGUCACCCAGACUCCCAGACAUCUGCUCAAGGGAAAGGCACAGACAGCAAAGAUGGACUGUGUCCCUGCAAAAGGACACAGAAGUGUUUAUUGGUAUCGUAAGAAGCCAGAAGAGGAACUCAAGUUUUUGGUGUACCUCCAGGAUAAAGAAAUUAUUGAGAAAACAGAAGUGAUCAAUGAGCGAUUUUCAGCUCAAUGUCCCACAAACUCACCCUGCAGCGUGGAGAUCCAGUCCACUGACCUGGGGGACUCGGCCCUGUAUUUCUGUGCCAGCAGCCAAUCCACAGUGCUCAAAGUUCACUUUCCUUUGAACACAAACUCAGCCUGCACCAGCUCAGGAAAUGAGUGGAGCAUUCGGUUGGUAGAAAACACCAGAAACGAAAUUGAAGAGCAUAGGUCUGAAGGAAAAAUGUAA
Molecule: non-coding RNA, 536 nt
Organism: Oryctolagus cuniculus (rabbit)
Lineage: Eukaryota; Metazoa; Chordata; Mammalia; Lagomorpha; Leporidae
Source: the annotation of a RefSeq genome assembly